This 460-nucleotide ribosomal RNA is filed under the name uncultured bacterium. Its description in RNAcentral is "partial 16S ribosomal RNA". It matches the Rfam family "Bacterial small subunit ribosomal RNA", at positions 338 to 795 of the family's 1533-position model. The record is from RNAcentral.
CCUACGGGUGGCAGCAGUGAGGAAUAUUGGUCAAUGGGCGCUAGCCUGAACCAGCCAAGUAGCGUGAAGGAUGACUGCACUAUGGGUUGUAAACUUCUUUUAUAUGGGAAUAAAGUGCAGUAUGUAUACUGCUUUGCAUGUACCUUAUGAAUAAGGAUCGGCUAACUCCGUGCCAGCAGCCGCGGUAAUACGGAGGAUGCGAGCGUUAUCCGGAUUUAUUGGGUUUAAAGGGUGCGUAGGUGGUUUUUUAAGUCAGCGGUGAAAGUUUGUGGCUCAACCAGAAAAUUGCCGUUGAAACUGGAAGACUAGAGUGUGGUUGAGGUAGGCGGAAUGCGUGGUGUAGCGGUGAAAUGCAUAGAUAUCACGCAGAACUCCGAUUGCGAAGGCAGCGUACUAAGCCAUAACUGACACUGAAGCACGAAAGCGUGGGGAUCGAACAGGAUUAGAUACCCCGGUAGUC